RNAcentral lists this ribosomal RNA (250 nucleotides) under uncultured bacterium. RNAcentral's name for it is "partial 16S ribosomal RNA". It matches the Rfam family "Bacterial small subunit ribosomal RNA", at positions 524 to 773 of the family's 1533-position model. The record is from RNAcentral.
UACGAAGGGGGCUAGCGUUGCUCGGAAUUACUGGGCGUAAAGGGCGCGUAGGCGGGUGUUUAAGUCAGAGGUUAAAUCCCAGAGCUCAACUCUGGAACUGCCUUUGAUACUGGACAUCUAGAGUACGGGAGAGGUGUGUGGAACUCCGAGUGUAGAGGUGAAAUUCGUAGAUAUUCGGAAGAACACCAGUGGCGAAGGCGACACACUGGCCCGUUACUGACGCUGAGGCGCGAAAGCGUGGGGAGCAAAC